This 383-nucleotide ribosomal RNA is filed under the name Diacyclops sobeprolatus. RNAcentral describes it as "partial 12S ribosomal RNA". The record is from RNAcentral. Lineage: Eukaryota; Metazoa; Arthropoda; Copepoda; Cyclopoida; Cyclopidae.
CACUUUUAAAUAUACUUGAUAUUUAGAUUUACUAAAUAAAAUUUAUUAGACUCUGUUAUAAGACUUAAGAUACAAUUUUAUUGCAUAUAGAUUUCAAUUUUUAAACAAAUCUGGGGUAGAAUCCAAGUAUGAAAUGCAAUUUAAGUAAUAAAAUUAAACUUAAACUAAGUGGCAGCUAUUUAUUCUACUUAGAGAAUUCUGGUUGUUAAAUUGAUGCCCCACAAUCUUAUUUAAAAAAUUUGAGCUUAUGUGUGGUUGUUUUAAAAUAAAUUUUUAUUUAAAUUUUAGCUCAAAUUACAUAUAGUCUAAUUAGAAUCGACUGGAAUGUAGUAAAUAUUAUUAAACGAAAAUUAAGAUUUAAUAGUAGGUUAAAAUCAUCGAAU